This 497-nucleotide ribosomal RNA is filed under the name uncultured bacterium. Its description in RNAcentral is "partial 16S ribosomal RNA". It matches the Rfam family "Bacterial small subunit ribosomal RNA", at positions 28 to 507 of the family's 1533-position model. The record is from RNAcentral.
GAUGAACGCUGGCGGCGUGCCUAAUACAUGCAAGUCGAGCGAACAGAUGAGGAGCUUGCUCCUCUGACGUUAGCGGCGGACGGGUGAGUAACACGUGGAUAACCUACCUAUAAGACUGGGAUAACUUCGGGAAACCGGAGCUAAUACCGGAUAAUAUAUUGAACCGCAUGGUUCAAUAGUGAAAGACGGUUUUGCUGUCACUCAUAGAUGGAUCCGCGCCGCAUUAGCUAGUUGGUAAGGUAACGGCUUACCAAGGCAACGAUGCGUAGCCGACCUGAGAGGGUGAUCGGCCACACUGGAACUGAGACACGGUCCAGACUCCUACGGGAGGCAGCAGUAGGGAAUCUUCCGCAAUGGGCGAAAGCCUGACGGAGCAACGCCGCGUGAGUGAUGAAGGUCUUCGGAUCGUAAAACUCUGUUAUUAGGGAAGAACAAAUGUGUAAGUAACUAUGCACGUCUUGACGGUACCUAAUCAGAAAGCCACGGCUAACUACGUG